This is a long non-coding RNA of Hippocampus comes (tiger tail seahorse), 376 nucleotides long. RefSeq lists it as uncharacterized. NCBI's taxonomy places the organism in Eukaryota, Metazoa, Chordata, Actinopteri, Syngnathiformes, Syngnathidae. The transcript has 2 exons. The record is from RefSeq and is a predicted model, not a curated record.
CUUUGGCCCUCUGAUCGAAAUCCUGCCCAUGGAUAAUGCGCAUCUGUUUAAGGAAAGUAGACUUGCCGCUCUCGCCUGCUCCAACUGCUCUGCCUCUCCGCUAGUGAGGAGACAGUUUGGGAAACAAACAGAUAAAACAGAGCGGGACGGCAGGAAGUCCGCCAUCUUUGAAACAACUUCAUCGAUGCACACAACGAGGAAGACUGAGCUCAGCGAAGCUGCUGCCACUGAUGCAUUCACAGCUAUCGGAAUCCCCACUUUCAAUGACAAUGCUUCAGUGUAACUAGGAUUUUUAUUGCCGCUUAGGCUUUGGACUUCUUGGGUCUAUUUUUACUUCCAUAUAAAAUACACAAAAAUAAAGUCAUAUGACAAAAAU